ACUUUCACAACAAUCUGUUAACGAAUCCACUGUUUGUUGGAAAAUCUUUCCAUAUUUGCUUUGAGAGGCUCGACUGCAAUUUAUUGAAGGCUACGUCCAGAGGAAAAGCCCUUCCAGUUAAGGACAUGGUGGUGAAUGCGAUAGACUCCACCGUUGAAAUUGCAAGAUGCAGUGCAACUCUUGAGGCUUAUCUUGUGGGAGGUCCAACUUCAAAGAGUGGUGGGUUUCCUGCGAUCCCCAGACACGCCAGGAGAGGAGAUGAACUGUUCUGAUGUCAGCAGUGCCUCUCAACAGCGGGAAUGGCUGGAAGGCAGAACCCUGUAGCUGUUACACAGAUCCAAGGAACCGAACGGUGUACGUUAAACUGCAAGGAUACACACACUGGCCAGCGCAGAGCAAAAACCGACCACAGACAGAAAACUUAGGUCACAGAAAAAGGGAACCAUUCCACCUUCACGUUACUCUGUGUGGCUGGUUGAGGUCGAGGGGAGGAGGAAGACUGUAAUUCUGUUGCCGUAAUACAUCGCCUGAAAAGCCUGUUCCUCUUCCACCAUCGCU
Molecule: long non-coding RNA, 558 nt
Organism: Callorhinchus milii (elephant shark)
Lineage: Eukaryota; Metazoa; Chordata; Chondrichthyes; Chimaeriformes; Callorhinchidae
Exons: 4
Source: RefSeq, a predicted model, not a curated record